Long non-coding RNA from Mustela erminea (ermine), 637 nucleotides. RefSeq lists it as uncharacterized. The transcript has 3 exons. The record is from RefSeq and is a predicted model, not a curated record. Lineage: Eukaryota; Metazoa; Chordata; Mammalia; Carnivora; Mustelidae.
AGGCUUGGGCAAUACCUGCCAUAGGUGGACCAUCACCCCCCUCCUCUCUGCGCCUAUGCUAGGUGUGGCAUGUUUCUGUCUGAGGAAGAUCAUGGCUUGAGAAUCCCACUCAGUACAACCCUCCAGGAAAGUUCCCAGGCACUGAGUCUCCUGAUGGAUCCUGGUUGAUUGAACAACAAGCCCCCUCCUCCAGCUUCCUGCCUGGACAAAGCCCCAGCAGGGAACCAUGAGAGAAGAUGUGAUUUAAAAAUCCAGUUCAAGAUUUGGACGGUCUAGCCCCAGAUGUUAGGAAUCAGGGAGGAUGGAGGUGGGGAGAAGAGGAGGAGGAAGACAGAGAUGACCCACUUCCUCCUUAUCGCUGCCUCUGACAUCUCAGCUGCCUGGGACCAGGGAGGCCAAGGUGGGGAAGCGGCAGGAGACCAGGAGGAUCCUUCCAGAUUCCUGAGACGCCUGCAUCCUUGUGUUGGGGCCCGAGUGUGAACUUCCGGGAGUGUGAAUGAGACACACGGGUGGAAAUUUGCCUUAAGUAUCUGGACAUGGACAAGGAAGUUUUGAUGAGAGAGUGGAAUGGUCCAUGAUUAAUGGAUUGAAAAAUGUUGACUUUGAAUGUUCAGAAAAUAAUUGUCCUGGUUAUCGU